This 106-nucleotide non-coding RNA is filed under the name Lachnobacterium bovis. Its description in RNAcentral is "TPP sequence". It matches the Rfam family "TPP riboswitch aptamer (THI element)". Rfam says of the family: Vitamin B(1) in its active form thiamin pyrophosphate (TPP) is an essential coenzyme that is synthesised by coupling of pyrimidine and thiazole moieties in bacteria. The previously detected thiamin-regulatory element, thi box was extended, resulting in a new, highly conserved RNA secondary structure, the THI element, which is widely distributed in eubacteria and also occurs in some archaea. Lineage: Bacteria; Bacillati; Bacillota; Clostridia; Lachnospirales; Lachnospiraceae. RNAcentral also lists the same sequence under 1 other name. The record is from RNAcentral.
AAUAUAUUUUGCGGGAGCUCGUAGGCGGGCUGAGAGGAAGAAAUUAUCUUCGACCGAUAAACCUGAUUUGGGUAAUGCCAACGUAGGGAUGAAUAUUCUGCCAUUA